GGCGUAGGCGGUAAAAGAAGUCAUCUGUGAAAACCUAUUGCUCAACGAUAGGCUAGCGGAUGAAACUGAAUUACUUGAGGGCACCAGAGGUAGACGGAAUUACCUGAGUAGGGGUGAAAUCCGCAGAUACGGGUAGGAACGCCGGUGGAGAAGUCGGUCUACUGGGGUGCACCAGACGCUGAGGCCCGAAAGCUAGGGGAGCAAACCG
This 208-nucleotide ribosomal RNA is filed under the name uncultured Defluviitoga sp. RNAcentral describes it as "partial 16S ribosomal RNA". It matches the Rfam family "Bacterial small subunit ribosomal RNA", at positions 568 to 775 of the family's 1533-position model. The record is from RNAcentral. Lineage: Bacteria; Thermotogati; Thermotogota; Thermotogae; Petrotogales; Petrotogaceae.